UUUUUAUUUUUAAGUCAUGGUCAAUGGGUGGCCCCACUGAAUAUUUUUAUUAGCUUAUGAAAUAAGAGUUGAACAAACAAAAAGCCAAAAAAAAAAACGAGAAAUCUGGAAGCAAAAAAAGGAAAGUGCAGUGACGAUCUCUCUCCUUAGCUCCAAAGCUUUCCAAUCCAAGAUACAUCUGAAAUUUGUUGGUGUUCAUCACAAAUCGAAGAUCUGAAAUGAUGGUGAAGAUGCCGCUGUAAUUCGUACUUGUUCAACUCAAAUCGAAGAUGUAUGCAUCUUAAUCAUUGAUUUCUCAGAGAUCACAAGAUUCAAAAGUCUUCCUUUAUCUCUUAAACUGCGUACCCAAUGAAACUAUAUCACAUAAAUUGGGACGGAGGGAGUACUAGAGAGAGUCAAGGAAGAUGCUCUUCCUUUCCUUAAGAGAUCGUACCGGUUCAUCAAUGACAUAACAUGGAUAUACUUUCUUUUACAUUGAAGUGAGUGAAUACAGAAGAGAACGGGAGAAGAAUGCAUACUGGCGUCUUAACAGCCUUAGCUGACUGAGAAGAUUAUGAAAAAUGGAACGCUGACAUUUUACGGUUAUUAGAUUAAUUAGAAAUGACUGUUAAUAAGGUAAAAAAUUCUACCUUUUCAUCGUUUCUCAAUAUUUUCUAUUAUCUCCUGCAAAGAUUAUUCUUUUGCAGGAAAUAUUGCUGCGUGGUUGUGUAAAGGAUCAUUAUUUAGAUUCAUUAGAUGUACAUAAUCAGUUUUUUUUUAUAUCUAAUUUUGUAUACUUUUAUUUGUGUAAGUGUGAAUAUGAUGGUAAUUCAUAUUAGGUGAUGGGCUGAAUUGUUCCUAAAAGAGAA
Long non-coding RNA from Lycium barbarum (goji berry), 848 nucleotides. RefSeq lists it as uncharacterized. The transcript has 4 exons. The record is from RefSeq and is a predicted model, not a curated record. NCBI's taxonomy places the organism in Eukaryota, Viridiplantae, Streptophyta, Magnoliopsida, Solanales, Solanaceae.